UACGGGGGGGGCAAGCGUUGUUCGGAAUUACUGGGCGUAAAGGGCUCGUAGGCGGCCAACUAAGUCGGAUGUGAAAUCCCCAGGCUUAACUUGGGAACUGCAUCCGAUACUGGAUGGCUUGAAUCCGGGAGAGGGAUGCGGAAUUCCAGGUGUAGCGGUGAAAUGCGUAGAUAUCUGGAGGAACACCGGUGGCGAAGGCGGCAUCCUGGACCGGCAUUGACGCUGAGGAGCGAAAGCGUGGGGAGCGAACAGG
This 253-nucleotide ribosomal RNA is filed under the name uncultured bacterium. RNAcentral's name for it is "partial 16S ribosomal RNA". It matches the Rfam family "Bacterial small subunit ribosomal RNA", at positions 524 to 776 of the family's 1533-position model. The record is from RNAcentral.